AUUUUUAGAGUUUAGGAAUGGUGGAUUUGGGUAUAAAAUAACUCAUGCUUUACUUUGAUCAAGUGUGCUGGGACUGGCAGCAACCCAUAUAAUUGUACCAAUUUAUGAUUGUGAAUUGUCACAAUUUCUUUCAUUUUUGGGUAUUUAGCAAUGAUUUAAGAUCAUUGUGUGAAAUGUAAAUGUUAAAACCCUACCGGGCAGGGG
This 204-nucleotide unclassified non-coding RNA is filed under the name Hevea brasiliensis (rubber tree). The record is from RNAcentral. Lineage: Eukaryota; Viridiplantae; Streptophyta; Magnoliopsida; Malpighiales; Euphorbiaceae.